AUUCAGGAAUGUUCCCUCUAUACCCACUUUGGCGAGGGUCUUGAUCAUGAAUGGAUGUUGAACUUUGUCAAAUGCUUUUUCUGCAUCUAUUGAGAUGAUCAUAUGAUUUUUGACUUUUUUUUUGUUAAUGUGGUGUAUGAUGCUGAUUGAUUUGCGUAUGUUGAACCAUCCUUGUGAACCUGGGAUGAACCCAACCUGGUCAUGGUGUAUAAUUUUUUUGGUAUGUUGUUGGAUUCGGUUGGCUAAGAUUUUGUUGAGAAUUUUUGCAUCUAUAUUCAUCAAAGAUAUUGGCCGAUAGUUUUCUUUUUUGGUGGUAUCUCUGCCUGGUUUUGGAAUGAGGGUGAUGGUGGCCUCACAGAAUGUCUUUGGGAGUAUUCCUUCUUCUUCAACCUUUUGAAAGAGUUUAAGGAGGAUGGGCACCAAUUUCUAUGUUUGAUAGAAUUCACCUGUGAAGCCAUCUGGUCCUGGACUUUUAUUUAUAGGGAGUGAUUUUAUGACCUCUUCAAUUUCAUUUCUAGUGAUUGGUCUGUUCAGUUGGUCUGUUUCCUCUUGAUUCACUUUUGGCAGACUGUAAGACUCUAGAAAAUUGUCCAUUUCUUCCAGAUUGUCAAACUUGUUGCCGUAUAGUUCUUCAUAGUAUUCUCUUAUGGUUUUUUGUAUUUCUGCUGUAUCCGUUGUGAUUUCUCCUUUUUCAUUUAUAAUUUGGUUAUUUGGGUUCUUUCUCUCCUCUUUUUAGUGAGUCUGGCCAGGGGGUUGUCAAUUUUGUUCACCUUUUCAAAGAACCAGCUCUUGGUUUUAUUAAUUUUCUCUAUUGUUUUUUGAGUCUCUAUUUUAUUGAUUCCUUCUUUGAUCUUUAUAAUUUCCUUCCUUCUGCUGACUUUAGGACUUUUUUUGUUCUUCUUUUUCUAAUUCAUUUAGGUGGAGGGUUAAGUUGUCCAUUUGAGAUCUUUCUUCUUUUUGAGAAAGGCCUGUAUUGCUAUAAAUUUCCCUCUGAGCACUGCUUUCGCAGCAUCCCAUAGAUUUUGAGAGGUUGUGUCUUCAUUAUCAUUUGUUUCAAGGUAGUUUUUAAUUUCCUUCUUGAUUUCCUCACUGACCCAUUGGUUUUUUAGUAGCAUGUUGUUUUGUCUCCAUGUAGUAGGUUUUUUCUCUUUGCUUUUCCCAUGGUUGAUUUCUAAUUUCAUGGCAUUGUGGUCAGAGAAGAUACUUGAGAUAAUUUCUAUGCUCCUAAAUUUAUUGAGAUUCACUUUGUGUCCCAAUAUGUGGUCGAUUCUUGAGAAUGUUCCAUGAGCAUUUGAGAAGAAUGUGUAUUCUGCUUUUUUUGGAUGUAGUGUCCUGAAGAUAUCAAUUAAGUCUAACUUUUCUAUUGUUUCCUUUAGGAUCUCUGUUGCUUUAUUGGUUUUCUGUCUAGAGGAUCUGUCCAUUGAUGUGAGGGGGGUAUUAAGAUCUCCUACUAUGAUUGUAUUCUCAUCAAUAUCUCCCUUUAUGUCUGUUAAUAUUUGUUGUAUGUAUCUGGGUGCUCCUAUACUUGGGGCAUAUAUGUUGAUGAUAGUAACAUCCUCUCCUUGGAUGGAUCCCUUAAUCAUUAAAUAGUGUCCUUCUUUGUCUUUCUUUAUGUCUUUUGUUUUAAAGUCUAUUUUGUCUGAUAUGAGUAUUGCGACUCCUGCUUUCCUGUCUUGUCUAUUGGCGUGAAAUAUUUUUCCCCACCCUUUCACUUUCAAUCUAUAUGUAUCUUUUGUCCUAAGGUGAGUUUCUUGUAGGCAGCAUAUUGAAGGUUUUUGCCUUUUUAUCCACUCAGCCACUCUGCGUCUUUUGAUUGGGGCAUUCAGUCCAUUGACAUUUAAGGUGAUAAUUGAUAGAUGAUUAUUUAUUGCCAUUUGAACGUCGUGUUCCAGUUGAUUCUAUGGUUCUCCAUUCUUCCUUUCUUUUUUUUUUUUUUUUUUUUUGGUUGGAUGGUCUCCUGUUGUUAUCUGCUUGAGUGUAUUUUUUCAUUUUUCUUAAUGUUAUAUUUAUGCUGAUGUUUGUACCUUUGUUACAUCUUUUGUUUGGUUAUAUUGAAUAAGCAUUUAAUGAUAUAAUCUAGAGAUGUUGUUUAUCUUCCUGAAAGCUGCAUUGAACACAAACCAUUCUGAUGACUAAGAUACUUAUUUUAAAGCAAGAGGCAUCCAGCAUGUUAAAGUGAAUGAAUCUGCCAAAAAUUUUAUCACAGAAACCAAAUGUUUGGAGUUUUCAGAAGCAACAAUGGAAUGCAGGCAUGGGGAAAUCCACUGUAGGCUAGCAAUUCAGCUUUGAAAGAUUUACUAAUCUAGUGCAUCAAAUACAUAUUUAGAAACUGAUGUUAAAACAAAUGUUAACUAUACUGUUGUAGUGAUGAUUUCAAUAUACACAAAUAUUGAAUCAUUAUGCUGUAUAAUCAAAAUAUGCCAAUUACAUCACAAUUAAGACAGAAAAAAGAAACUUUAGAUAUUUUAAUAAUUUUCUCAAAUUUCUAUUAAAUGUAAAAAAUAAUGUUUGCAUUUCCCUGAGCAUUAUGCUACAGGAAAGGUAAACUUACUAAUUAGAUUUCAAAGAAGUAUAAAUCAUAGAUAAAAUGAGAAAGUCAUUUAGGAACAUCUGUUUAUUUUAAUAAGAUAUAUCUUUGAAACUUAGUGAGUUUAAUAUAAUAAUUAGUAUAUUUAAGCAUUUGUCUAUUUUUAGAGGAAAAACAUCUCUAUUGUCCAACAUAUCCAGACUUCUCCCAAGGAGAUUAUUAAGAAACAUGCUAAUUAAUUUCAUUUUAGGUGAUUUUUUAAAAACCGAACUUUGUUUUUUAACAUACCUGUAAAUUUAUAUUUAGUGGGAAAAAAAUAAUUCAGAAACUAGUCCUGUGCAUCUUCUAUCCAGUUUCCUCUAAUUGUUACUUGCAAAAUUGUAGCAUAAUAUUACAAUCAGGACUUUUACAUUUACAGUAAUGAGAGAGAACUGUGCCAUCACCACUAGGGCCCCUCACUGCUGCCUUUUCAUAAUCACAUCCACUUCCUUCCUAUCAGCACUCCCUCCCUUGUUCCUGAUAGCCACUAACCUGUUCUAAUUCUGUAAUUAAGAUACCGGAUAUUCAUCAACAGUUAGUGGUGUCACUUUUUUAAGCCAUUCUGAUAAGUGUGCAAUGGCAUCUGAUUGUGAUUUUAAUUUUCAUUCCUCUAAUGGGUAAUGAUAUUGAAUAUUUUUUCAUAUACUUGUCAUCUCUGAGUCUCCAAUGAAAUGCUGCUUCAUGUUUUUGUCCAUAUGGUAGUUGAAUUGUAUGCUGUUUAAAUUUUUACUUUCACUUUUGAGAAAGCUUUACAUCUUCUAAAUACUAGCUCUUUGAUGUAUAUGUUAUGUUCCAAUAUUUUGUCCUGAUCUGUAUCUUGUCUAUUCAUUCCCUUAACAGGAUCUUUCACAGAGGAAAAAAAAUUAUUUUGAGGAAGUUUAAUUUAUCAACAUUUCCUUUUAUGAAUCAGGCUUUUGUGGCAAGUGUAAGAGCUCUUUGCCUAACCAUAAUGUUCUUAUUUUUUCCUAAGUAUGUUUUAUAGUUUUACAUUUUACAUAUAAUUCCAUGAUCUAUGAGGAGUUAAUCAUUGUAUAAGAUAUGAGGCUUAUGUUGAGGUUCAUUUAUUUAAAUUUUUUUUAAACCUUUAAAUGUUCAACUGUUCCACCACCUCUUGAAAAGACUGAAAUGUCUGUCUUUCCUCAGGCAUAUUUUUGAAGAUCUAUUUCCUAUUUGAUUCCUUUAUGCAUCUAUUCCUCUCACAUUAUCAGAGUUUUGGCUACUGCAGCUACAUAGCAAGUCUUAAAAACAGAUAAAUCUACUUGUUACCUAUAAUUUUUAUCAAAACUAUCUUAGCUAAUCUAGUUCCUUAGACUUUCUAUUAAAAAAUUACCAAAAAGGACCUAUUUUUAGCACAGGGAAUUAUAUUCAAUAUUUUAUAAUGACCCAUAAGGUAAAAGAACCUAAAAAGGAAUAGCCAUAUAUGUAUGUGUAACUGAAUCACUGUGCUAUGCACCUGAAACCAACAUAACAUUGUACAUCAACUAUACUUCAUUUUCAUUUUUAAAAGUUAUAAUGUUGUCUAUGUCUGCAAAAAAAUCUUUUGAGUAUUUUGACAAAAACUCUUGUGACGAUUAGUUUUAUGGCCAACUUGAUAUAUAUUUGUGUUAUGUCUAUGUAUUGUGUAUGUUAUAUACAUACCUUGCAAUAGUAUAAAAAUGAAUGAAAAGUCAUUUCAGUUGCAAUUAAAAUAUAUGAUUUUAACAUGUAUCUAAGAUCACAUAGCUAGAUAGUGGCAGAAUUGCGCUUGAACUCUAGCUUUCUUUUAUAUCAAAAUAUAUGUGCUUAAUUUCUGUAUUAGCACAUAUUAUAUCCUAUAUUAUCUCCCUGGGGUGGACAAGAUCUCAUACAGAGAAUAAUACCCUCCACCAAAUAUGUUCAUGUCCUAAUCUCUGUAACCCAUGAAUAUAUAAUUUUAUAUGGUAAAGGAGAAUUUACACAUUUAAUUAAAUUAAGAUCUUUUCUCCUCUCUUUCAGUAAUGAGUGUCACUACCCAUUUUGCUUAGGCAUCUGCUAUAAAUAGUUUCCUAAUAAAAUCUUCAGUGAACUUCCUGCUUCCCACUCUCAACUUCCGUAUAUAAAAUGUACCACAGAUGUUUAAGAGGCGUCUUGUUCAUAUUUUAGCUUUUAGGAACUUUAGCAGUCCCUCUAAAUACAGCAUGCCUAUUGCAAAGAAGAGAAACCACUGAAAUCAUUUUGAGUAAUGGGGGUAUUUAUGUAAAUGAAUAUUUGUUUAAAUAAAAUCCAAGCAAGAAAAGGAAAAAAAAGAGUAAGGAUCAAAAGGAACUAAACUGAACAUCAGAAUACCAGGAAUCAAGACCAUUCUCAAGCAACAAGGGGCUUCGGGGCCUGUCAUCUUAUUUCCCUCUAUCAUCAUUCUCUCUGAAGUGUUUGCCUUGCUCUCACUUUACUAUUUGCACUGCUCUAAACCUAACUUUAACAGACCUUUUAAUUUAAGUGUAUGUAACUGCAGAUUCCAUCUUUUAGUUUAAAUUAUCAAAAGUUUAAGAAUCUGAUUGUCAAUGACUUGAGUGUUUACAGUAAUGUACCACCUGUGGUGCAAUUAACUUUGUAUAUGGGUGGGGAUGGGGCUAAUGCAUAAGAGCACAAACUUGUACAUGAACUUGAGUACCAAAGUUUAACAAAAAAGGAAGGUGUGUGGAUUCCAUUGCGGCUCCGUGGGUUAAGAACAUGACAUAGUGUCCAUGAGGAUGCAGGUUUGAUCACUGGCCUUGCUCAGUGGAUUAAGGAUCUGGCAUUGCCACGAGCCAUGAAACAGUUUGCAGAGGCGGCUUCGGGUCCAGUGUUGCCUCUGCUGUGGUGGAGACUGGCAGCUGCAGCUCUGAUUAGACUCCCUAGUCCAAUCUUCCAUACGCUGCUGUGAAGCU
RNAcentral lists this long non-coding RNA (5451 nucleotides) under Sus scrofa (pig). RNAcentral's name for it is "lncRNA (ENSSSCG00000061896.1)". The record is from RNAcentral. Lineage: Eukaryota; Metazoa; Chordata; Mammalia; Artiodactyla; Suidae.